This 404-nucleotide ribosomal RNA is filed under the name uncultured bacterium. Its description in RNAcentral is "bacterial SSU rRNA". It matches the Rfam family "Bacterial small subunit ribosomal RNA", at positions 355 to 776 of the family's 1533-position model. The record is from RNAcentral.
UCGGGAAUUUUGGGCAAUGGGCGAAAGCCUGACCCAGCAACGCCGCGUGAAGGAUGAAGUAUUUCGGUAUGUAAACUUCGAAAGAAUAGGAAGAAUCAAUGACGGUACUAUUUAUAAGGUCCGGCUAACUACGUGCCAGCAGCCGCGGUAAUACGUAGGGACCAAGCGUUGUUCGGAUUUACUGGGCGUAAAGGGCGCGUAGGCGGCAUGACAAGUCACUUGUGAAAUCUCCGGGCUUAACUCGGAACGGCCAAGUGAUACUGUCACGCUAGAGUAUUGGAGGGGCAAUCGGAAUUCUUGGUGUAGCGGUGAAAUGCGUAGAUAUCAAGAGGAACACCUGAGGUGAAGACGGGUUGCUGGCCAAAUACUGACGCUGAGGCGCGAAAGCCAGGGGAGCAAACGGG